CGGCGGAUAAAUCAACGUUACGGUCGGCACUCGGGUUUGAAAAAUUAUCCUCGGCCAGGUACGGGCGCGCAAAAAUAAUAUAUAUAAAUGUGCGCCGGGGAAAAGUCGGAAACGACGUUGGCGGAAAUCUAAAACCGCCGAAACUUUAUACACGACGCUCGAUUGUUUAACCGGAGCGCGAUAUAUUAUGCAUGGUCUCGACGGCGUGAAUAUAAUUUGGAGAAAAUUAGACGCGAGGUAUAAAUGUAAAUAACAUUUUCUGCCUGCGGUCCUCGGUCUGUCCGUUGAUUGGCCGCGACUUACCGCGCUGUCCCGUCAAAACGCAAAUCCUUCAGCUCUCGAUCAAUUUCCAUUACCGCAUUGCCCUCAAGAAUUUGCGGUGUACAUUUCUCCUGUCACCUCUUACGGAACCUUCGGCAGUCAAGUUCGACUAAUAGUCUCGGAUUAUUUUCCCCGUAGACGAACAAAUUAUUUAUUGAUUUGUGCCCGCCCGGCCCUGCCCGUUUCCGUUCGUGUUUAUUUUAAAGGCGCCGAUCGCCGUUUGUUUAAUUCGCGUACUGUUCUUCGACGUCCAUAUCGAGCCUAUCAAUUCCGCAAUGUUUUUCCGCCCGUCCGAAAGGCCCGAACGAAAAUCAUUAUAAAUAAAAUACGACCUGCGGCGCACACAAAUAAUAAUGUAUCACGAACACUCAUACUCGUAUUGUGUACACGUCUAUAUUAUCGUGUUGUGCGCGUCGGUUUCUUUCACCGGAACACAAAAGCGAACUUUCGACCCGUGCGAUUUCGAGGGGUGAAAAAACUUUUUUUCGUGAUUCAUUUUGCGCGCGCCGGAGGCUAUUGAAAGGCGCGCGGUCAUGCAACACAAAUAGCAUUGCGGCGCAGGUGACUCAUUCGGAAC
This is a non-coding RNA of Cinara cedri, 898 nucleotides long. NCBI's taxonomy places the organism in Eukaryota, Metazoa, Arthropoda, Insecta, Hemiptera, Aphididae. The record is from the annotation of a GenBank genome assembly.